CAGUCGCCGCGGGAAUACGAAGGGUGCAAGCGUUAAUCGGAAUUACUGGGCGUAAAGCGUGCGUAGGCGGUUUGUUAAGUCUGUUGUGAAAUCCCCGGGCUCAACCUGGGAAUGGCAAUGGAUACUGGCAAGCUAGAGUGUGUCAGAGGAUGGUGGAAUUCCCGGUGUAGCGGUGAAAUGCGUAGAGACGUGGAGGAACACCGAUGGCGAAGGCAGCCCCCUGGGCCAAUACUGACGCUCAUGCACGAAAGCGUGGGGAGCAAACAGGAUUAGAUACCCCUGUAGUCCCUGUCUCUUAUAC
Molecule: ribosomal RNA, 301 nt
Filed under: uncultured bacterium
Lineage: Bacteria
Description: partial 16S ribosomal RNA
Rfam family: Bacterial small subunit ribosomal RNA
Source: RNAcentral